Molecule: ribosomal RNA, 551 nt
Filed under: Salmonella enterica
Lineage: Bacteria; Pseudomonadati; Pseudomonadota; Gammaproteobacteria; Enterobacterales; Enterobacteriaceae
Also listed under: 4 other names
Description: partial 23S ribosomal RNA
Rfam family: Bacterial large subunit ribosomal RNA
Source: RNAcentral
AGACCCGAAACCCGGUGAUCUAGCCAUGGGCAGGUUGAAGGUUGGGUAACACUAACUGGAGGACCGAACCGACUAAUGUUGAAAAAUUAGCGGAUGACCUGUGGCUGGGGGUGAAAGGCCAAUCAAACCGGGAGAUAGCUGGUUCUCCCCGAAAGCUAUUUAGGUAGCGCCUCGUGAAUUCAUCUCCGGGGGUAGAGCACUGUUUCGGCUAGGGGGCCAUCCCGGCUUACCAACCCGAUGCAAACUGCGAAUACCGGAGAAUGUUAUCACGGGAGACACACGGCGGGUGCUAACGUCCGUCGUGAAGAGGGAAACAACCCAGACCGCCAGCUAAGGUCCCAAAGUCAUGGUUAAGUGGGAAACGAUGUGGGAAGGCCCAGACAGCCAGGAUGUUGGCUUAGAAGCAGCCAUCAUUUAAAGAAAGCGUAAUAGCUCACUGGUCGAGUCGGCCUGCGCGGAAGAUGUAACGGGGCUAAACCAUGCACCGAAGCUGCGGCAGCGACACUGUGUGUUGUUGGGUAGGGGAGCGUUCUGUAAGCCUGCGAAGGUGG